Molecule: transfer RNA, 65 nt
Filed under: Mesechinus dauuricus (Daurian hedgehog)
Lineage: Eukaryota; Metazoa; Chordata; Mammalia; Eulipotyphla; Erinaceidae
Also listed under: 2 other names
Description: tRNA-Lys
Source: RNAcentral
CACUAAGAAGCUAAUAGCAUUAACCUUUUAAGUUAAAGAUAGGAAACCUUUACUUCCCUUAGUGU